AUUGAACGCUGGCGGCAGGCCUAACACAUGCAAGUCGAGCGGAGCGGCGGACGGGUGGGUAAUGCCUAGGAAUCUGCCUGGUAGUCGGGGAUAACGGCCGGAAACGGGCGCUAAUACCGCAUACUAUCAGAUGAGCCGAGGUUGGAUUAGCUAGUUGGGGGGGUAAAGGCCUACCAAGGCUACGAUCCGUAACUUGUCUGAGAGGAUGAUCAGUCACACUGGAACUGAGAGACGGUCCAGACUCCUACGGGAGGCAGCAGUGGGGAAUAUUGGACAAUGGGCGAAAGCCUGAUCCAGCCAUGCCGCGUGUGUGAAGAAGGUCUUCGGAUUGUAAAGCACUUUAAGUUGGGAGGCGUUACCAACAGAAUAAGCACCGGCUAACUUCGUGCCAGCAGCCGCGGUAAUAC
Molecule: ribosomal RNA, 407 nt
Filed under: uncultured bacterium
Lineage: Bacteria
Description: partial 16S ribosomal RNA
Rfam family: Bacterial small subunit ribosomal RNA
Source: RNAcentral